RNAcentral lists this non-coding RNA (63 nucleotides) under Callithrix jacchus (white-tufted-ear marmoset). The record is from RNAcentral. Lineage: Eukaryota; Metazoa; Chordata; Mammalia; Primates; Cebidae.
ACCUUGGGAGCCCUGUUAGACUCUGGAUUUUAAACUUGGAGUGAACGGGCGCCAUCCCGAGGC